This 523-nucleotide ribosomal RNA is filed under the name uncultured Pseudomonadota bacterium. Its description in RNAcentral is "bacterial SSU rRNA". It matches the Rfam family "Bacterial small subunit ribosomal RNA", at positions 8 to 522 of the family's 1533-position model. The record is from RNAcentral. Lineage: Bacteria; Pseudomonadati; Pseudomonadota.
AGAGUUUGAUCCUGGCUCAGAUUGAACGCUGGCGGCAUGCUUUACACAUGCAAGUCGAGCGGCAGCUGCGGGGGCAACCCUGGCGGCGAGCGGCGAACGGGUGAGUAAUGCAUCGGAACGUGUCCCGUAAUGGGGGAUAACGCCGCGAAAGCGGCGCUAAUACCGCAUACGCUCUACGGAGGAAAGUGGGGGAUUCGCAAGGACCUCACGUUAGGGGAGCGGCCGAUGUCCGAUUAGCUAGUUGGUGGGGUAACGGCCCACCAAGGCGACGAUCGGUAGCUGGUCUGAGAGGAUGAUCAGCCACACUGGGACUGAGACACGGCCCAGACUCCUACGGGAGGCAGCAGUGGGGAAUUUUGGACAAUGGGGGCAACCCUGAUCCAGCCAUGCCGCGUGCGGGAAGAAGGCCUUCGGGUUGUAAACCGCUUUUAGUCGGGAAGAAAAGGCCGAGGUUAAUACCUUCGGUUUUUGACGGUACCGGCGGAAUAAGCACCGGCUAACUACCGUGCCAGCAGCCGCGGUA